This 465-nucleotide ribosomal RNA is filed under the name uncultured bacterium. Its description in RNAcentral is "partial 16S ribosomal RNA". It matches the Rfam family "Bacterial small subunit ribosomal RNA", at positions 28 to 507 of the family's 1533-position model. The record is from RNAcentral.
GACGAACGCUGGCGGCGUGCUUAACACAUGCAAGUCAAACGGAAAGGCCCCUUUGGGGGUACUCGAGUGGCGAACGGGUGAGUAACACGUGAGUAACCUGCCCUUGACUUCGGGAUAACUUCAGGAAACUGGGGCUAAUACCGGAUAGGAAUCCUUGCUGCAUGGUGGGGGUUGGAAAGCUUCGGCGGUUUUGGAUGGACUCGCGGCUUAUCAGCUUGUUGGUGGGGUAGUGGCUUACCAAGGCUUUGACGGGUAGCCGGCCUGAGAGGGCGACCGGCCACAUUGGGACUGAGAUACGGCCCAGACUCCUACGGGAGGCAGCAGUGGGGAAUAUUGCACAAUGGGCGGAAGCCUGAUGCAGCAACGCCGCGUGCGGGAUGACGGCCUUCGGGUUGUAAACCGCUUUCAGCAGGGGCGAAGCUUGUGGUGACGGUACCUGCAGAAGAAGCACCGGCUAACUACGUG